CCAGACUCCUACGGGAGGCAGCAGUGGGGGAUAUUGCACAAUGGGGGGAACCCUGAUGCAGCGACGCCGCGUGGGUGAAGGAGUGCUUCGGCAUGUAAAGCCCUAUCGGCAGGGAAGAAGCAAGACGGUACCUGACUAAGAAGCCCCGGCUAACUACGUGCCAGCAGCCGCGGUAAUACGUAGGGGGCGAGCGUUAUCCGGAUUCACUGGGUGUAAAGGGAGAGUAGACGGCCAAGCAAGCCAGGGGUGAAAGCCCGGGGCCCAACCCCGGGACUGCCCUUGGAACUGCACGGCUGGAGUGCGGGAGGGGCAGGCGGAAUUCCUGGUGUAGCGGUGAAAUGCGUAGAUAUCAGGAGGAACACCGGCGGCGAAGGCGGCCUGCUGGACGACAACUGACGGUGAGGCGCGAAAGCGUGGGGAGCAAACAGGAUUAGAUACCCUAGUAGA
This 447-nucleotide ribosomal RNA is filed under the name uncultured bacterium. Its description in RNAcentral is "bacterial SSU rRNA". It matches the Rfam family "Bacterial small subunit ribosomal RNA", at positions 331 to 794 of the family's 1533-position model. The record is from RNAcentral.